RNAcentral lists this ribosomal RNA (760 nucleotides) under uncultured bacterium. RNAcentral's name for it is "bacterial SSU rRNA". It matches the Rfam family "Bacterial small subunit ribosomal RNA", at positions 173 to 925 of the family's 1533-position model. The record is from RNAcentral.
CCAGCAGCUCUUCGGGGCAGUUGGGAAAGGUAGCUUAGGCCUCCGGCCGAGGAGGAGCCUGCGGCGGAUUAGCUUGUUGGUGGGGUAAUGGCCUACCAAGGCAACGAUCCGUAGCUGGUCUGAGAGGACGAUCAGCCACACUGGGACUGAGACACGGCCCAGACUCCUACGGGAGGCAGCAGUGGGGAAUCUUGCGCAAUGGGCGGAAGCCUGACGCAGCGACGCCGCGUGCGGGAAGAAGGCCUUCGGGUUGUAAACCGCUUUCAGGAGGGACGAAGCUACUCGGGUUAAUAGCCCAGAGGGUGACGGUACCUCCAGAAGAAGCCCCGGCUAACUACGUGCCAGCAGCCGCGGUAAUACGUAGGGGGCAAGCGUUGUCCGGAUUUAUUGGGCGUAAAGAGCGUGUAGGCGGCCAGGUAGGUCUGCUGUUAAAACUCGAGGCUCAACCUCGAGAGGUCGGUGGAAACCAUCUGGCUAGAGUCCGGAAGAGGAGAGUGGAAUUCCCGGUGUAGCGGUGAAAUGCGCAGAUAUCGGGAAGAACACCUAUGGCGAAGGCAGCUCUCUGGGACAGUACUGACGCUGAGACGCGAAAGCGUGGGGAGCGAACAGGAUUAGAUACCCUGGUAGUCCACGCCGUAAACGAUGGGUGCUAGGUGUGGGCGGUGUCGACUCCGUCCGUGCCGAAGCUAACGCAUUAAGCACCCCGCCUGGGGAGUACGGCCGCAAGGCUAAAACUCAAAGGAAUUGACGGAAUCGAAUU